UAAAAGUAAGCAAGGGCGCAUGGCGGAUGCCUUGGCUCUCGGAGGCGAUGAAGGACGUGAUAAGCUGCGAUAAGCUGCGGGUAGGUGCAAAUGACCUUUGAUCCGCGGAUUUCCGAAUGGGACAACCCAAUAUCUUGAAGAGGUAUUAUCCUACUAAGUAGGAGGCAAACGCAGGGAACUGAAACAUCUUAGUACCUGUAGGAAUAGAAAAUAAAUAAUG
This 220-nucleotide ribosomal RNA is filed under the name Bacteroides intestinalis. RNAcentral's name for it is "partial 23S ribosomal RNA". It matches the Rfam family "Bacterial large subunit ribosomal RNA", at positions 1 to 233 of the family's 2925-position model. Lineage: Bacteria; Pseudomonadati; Bacteroidota; Bacteroidia; Bacteroidales; Bacteroidaceae. The record is from RNAcentral.